CUUUCAGCGAUGGAUAUCUUGGCUCG
Molecule: ribosomal RNA, 26 nt
Filed under: Symbiodinium sp. ex Goniastrea retiformis
Lineage: Eukaryota; Dinophyceae; Suessiales; Symbiodiniaceae
Description: partial 5.8S ribosomal RNA
Source: RNAcentral